RNAcentral lists this small RNA (223 nucleotides) under Histoplasma ohiense. Its description in RNAcentral is "hypothetical lncRNA". The record is from RNAcentral. Lineage: Eukaryota; Fungi; Ascomycota; Eurotiomycetes; Onygenales; Ajellomycetaceae.
UCUUGAAUAAGUUGAGAGGUUUGAAAUAUCAAUAUCUUCUGAGUGCUCAUGAUUGACAAUCAGAUAAUCUCAAUGCUGUAUGGCAGUAUAAAAUAGCACCAGACUUCGGGAUGCAAAGCUCUGAGAAAUCAUUGGUUCAAGAAGAUGAUAUUUAGAAUUGAUGGAAGUCAUAGAAUUUCAGUUUCAAUGAGUAAGAUCAGACUGAAUACAGUGAUGAGCCUCU